UACGUAGGUGGCAAGCGUUGUCCGGAUUUAUUGGGUUUAAAGGGUGCGUAGGCGGUCUAUUAAGUCAGUGGUGAAAGACGGUAGCUCAACUAUCGAGGUGCCAUUGAUACUGAUGGACUUGAGUGCACACGAGGUAGGCGGAAUGGACGGUGUAGCGGUGAAAUGCAUAGAUAUCGUCCAGAACACCGAUAGUGAAGACAGCUUACCAGAGUGCAACUGACGCUGAGGCACGAAAGUGUGGGGAUCAAACAGGAUUAGAUACCCUGGUAGUCCACACUGUAAACGUUGAUAACUCGCUGUUGGCGAUACACAGCCAGCGGCCAAGCGCAAGCGAUAAGUUAUCCACCUGGGGAGUACGCCGGCAACGGUG
RNAcentral lists this ribosomal RNA (370 nucleotides) under uncultured bacterium. RNAcentral's name for it is "bacterial SSU rRNA". It matches the Rfam family "Bacterial small subunit ribosomal RNA", at positions 524 to 896 of the family's 1533-position model. The record is from RNAcentral.